GAUCAUGGCUCAGGAUGAACGCUAGCUACAGGCUUAACACAUGCAAGUCGAGGGGCAGCAUGGUCUUAGCUUGCUAAGGCCGAUGGCGACCGGCGCACGGGUGAGUAACACGUAUCCAACCUGCCGUCUACUCUUGGACAGCCUUCUGAAGGGAAGAUUAAUACAAGAUGGCAUCAUGAGUCCGCAUGUUCACAUGAUUAAAGGUAUCCCGGUAGACGAUGGGGA
RNAcentral lists this ribosomal RNA (225 nucleotides) under uncultured bacterium. RNAcentral's name for it is "partial 16S ribosomal RNA". It matches the Rfam family "Bacterial small subunit ribosomal RNA", at positions 15 to 231 of the family's 1533-position model. The record is from RNAcentral.